This 484-nucleotide ribosomal RNA is filed under the name uncultured bacterium. RNAcentral's name for it is "partial 16S ribosomal RNA". It matches the Rfam family "Bacterial small subunit ribosomal RNA", at positions 29 to 507 of the family's 1533-position model. The record is from RNAcentral.
AUUGAACGCUGGCGGCAUGCUUUACACAUGCAAGUCGAACGGCAGCGCGGGCUUCGGCCUGGCGGCGAGUGGCGAACGGGUGAGUAAUGCAUCGGAACGUGCCCAGUAGUGGGGGAUAGCCCGGCGAAAGCCGGAUUAAUACCGCAUACGACCUGAGGGUGAAAGCGGGGGACCGAAAGGCCUCGCGCUAUUGGAGCGGCCGAUGUCGGAUUAGCUAGUUGGUGGGGUAAAGGCUUACCAAGGCGACGAUCCGUAGCUGGUCUGAGAGGACGACCAGCCACACGGGGACUGAGACACGGCCCAGACUCCUACGGGAGGCAGCAGUGGGGAAUUUUGGACGAUGGGGGAAACCCUGAUACAGCAAUGCCGCGGGCGGGAAGAAGGCCUUCGGGUUGUAAACCGCUUUUGUUCGGGAAGAAAUCCUCUGGGCUAAUACCCCGGGGGGAUGACGGCACCGGAAGAAUAAGCACCGGCUAACUACGUG